RNAcentral lists this ribosomal RNA (492 nucleotides) under uncultured bacterium. Its description in RNAcentral is "partial 16S ribosomal RNA". It matches the Rfam family "Bacterial small subunit ribosomal RNA", at positions 29 to 507 of the family's 1533-position model. The record is from RNAcentral.
AGUGAACGCUGGCGGUAGGCCUAACACAUGCAAGUCGAACGGCAGCACAGUAAGAGCUUGCUCUUACGGGUGGCGAGUGGCGGACGGGUGAGGAAUACACCGGAAUCUACUUUUGCGUGGGGGAUGACGUAUGGGAACUUACUCUAAUACCGCAUACUACCUACGGGUGAAAGCAGGGGAUCUUCGGACCUUGCGCGAUUGAAUGAGCCGAUGUCGGAUUAGCUAGUUGGCGGGGUAAAGGCCCACCAAGGCGACGAUCCGUAGCUGGUCUGAGAGGAUGAAGAGGCACACUGGAAGUGAGACACGGUACAGACUCCUACGGGAGGCAGAGAUGGGGAAUAUUGGAAAAUGGGCGCAAGCCUGAUCCAGCCAUACCGCGUGGGUGCAGAAGGCCUUCGGGUUGUAAAGCCGUCUUGUUGGGAAAGAAAAGCAGCAGGUUAAUCCACCGCUGUUCUGACGGUACCCAAAGAAUAAGCACCGGCUAACUUCGUG